UGAACGACUCUCGGCAACGGAUAUCUCGGCUCUUGCAUCGAUGAAGAACGUAGCGAAAUGCGAUACUUGGUGUGAAUUGCAGAAUCCCGUGAACCAUCGAGUCUUUGAACGCAAGUUGCGCCCGAGACCUUCUGGUCGAGGGCACGUCUGCCUGGGCGUCACGC
This 164-nucleotide ribosomal RNA is filed under the name Leptopyrum fumarioides. Its description in RNAcentral is "5.8S ribosomal RNA". It matches the Rfam family "5.8S ribosomal RNA". From Rfam's summary of the family: 5.8S ribosomal RNA (5.8S rRNA) is a component of the large subunit of the eukaryotic ribosome. It is transcribed by RNA polymerase I as part of the 45S precursor that also contains 18S and 28S rRNA. The record is from RNAcentral. Lineage: Eukaryota; Viridiplantae; Streptophyta; Magnoliopsida; Ranunculales; Ranunculaceae.